CAGUCGAACGAGUUCUCGUUGAUGAUCGGUGCUUGCACCGAGAUUCAACAUGGAACGAGUGGCGGACGGGUGAGUAACACGUGGGUAACCUGCCCUUAAGUGGGGGAUAACAUUUGGAAACAGAUGCUAAUACCGCAUAGAUCCAAGAACCGCAUGGUUCUUGGCUGAAAGAUGGCGUAAGCUAUCGCUUUUGGAUGGACCCGCGGCGUAUUAGCUAGUUGGUGAGGUGAUGGCUCACCAAGGCGAUGAUACGUAGCCGAACUGAGAGGUUGAUCGGCCACAUUGGGACUGAGACACGGCCCAAACUCCUACGGGAGGCAGCAGUAGGGAAUCUUCCACAAUGGACGCAAGUCUGAUGGAGCAACGCCGCGUGAGUGAAGAAGGCUUUCGGGUCGUAAAACUCUGUUGUUGGAGAAGAAUGGUCGGCAGAGUAACUGUUGUCGGCGUGACGGUAUCCAACCAGAAAGCCACGGCUAACUACGUGCCAGCAGCCGCGGUAAUACGUAGGUGGCAAGCGUUAUCCGGAUUUAUUGGGCGUAAAGCGAGCGCAGGCGGUUUUUUAAGUCUGAUGUGAAAGCCCUCGGCUUAACCGAGGAAGCGCAUCGGAAACUGGGAAACUUGAGUGCAGAAGAGGACAGUGGAACUCCAUGUGUAGCGGUGAAAUGCGUAGAUAUAUGGAAGAACACCAGUGGCGAAGGCGGCUGUCUGGUCUGUAACUGA
RNAcentral lists this ribosomal RNA (720 nucleotides) under uncultured bacterium. RNAcentral's name for it is "bacterial SSU rRNA". It matches the Rfam family "Bacterial small subunit ribosomal RNA", at positions 59 to 743 of the family's 1533-position model. The record is from RNAcentral.